GACUAAAUUUCAGACUGUUAAGACUUUAUUCAAAGCUGAAUACUGUUUUUCUUCUCUCUGAGUGCACACUCCAUUUUGUUGGCUUAGUCUGAACUUCCUUGAACAGAAGUGAUUUCAUUGUGUUUUCGUACAGGGAGCACCUCAAGAGAGUCUUGGUUUUGGCUGUAUUUUUUGGUGAUGGUGUGAUGCAUAUAGAUAAUGACAUUGUAUACAAAAAAGGGUGGGAAAGUUGACCUUGAAUGGUACUCACAAAUGUUAAACUUUAUUCAAAAUUCAGAAAUGUCUAGCUUAUAAAUCUGAUUUAUUUUUGUUUAAGGUGAUGUAGCAUCUGGUGGAAAAAUUAAAUAGUGGGUUGGUCAAAGCUCAGUCAGAAAAUCAAUGUUCUUAACCUAUGAUUAAUAUCAAUUUUGUUGGAAAAAUCAAGUGGCAGUUACAUUUCAUGGUCAGUCCUUUCCUGGCCACCCAUUCUCAUGUCAGGCAUCUGAUACUUCUUCUUAGACAAAUCUAAAUCCAAAGCAGCAACAAGUCAGUGGACUUAAAUCUACUUGAAACUUGCAACUGAGAGAACAAGAGAGAGGAUUUAGUGUAUCUAUGCCAGCAGAAGAUUGGGAGUCUUAAGCUGCUUGCAAGCCAUCCACGAUAUAGUUGGGCUGUUGAAAGUCAGAUGGCUUAUACAGCGUGCCGUAACUCUGCCUUUUCUUGCCCUGUCACGUGCAGGGUAGACACAGGCAUUUAAACUGCAGGGCUUCAGUUAAAUCAUUUUCUACGCCGUCUGGGCAGGUGACUUGUGUUCUCCUUCUGGAUUUCUUCUCAUUUUCUUGGUUAUCAAAUUUUACAUCUAAGUUCCCAGAAUAUAGGAUAGCACUUUAUCUUUUUCUAUCCCUCAGAGAGUUUGAGUAGGUUGCAAGUCAUAUAUGUGUAUAUAUAUUAUGUGUGUAUAUAUACAAACAUAAUUUUUGUGUCCUUUUUUUUUUUUUUUUUUUUAAUUGCAACAAAUAUUUGAAAAAUAAAGAUAAGCAUUAGGGUGUUAGAUCAAGGAUGGUGAAAUGUACAAAUUUAAAGGCACUCAGAGUUAGGAAGGGAAAUAUUGGGUAAUCUGCAGGAAGAACAGGGCUAGUUGCUGCAGCAGUGAAUACUGCAAGUUCUCUGUGCUUUUCCUUCUGCAUGAGUAAGCUGUAUUAUAUAAAAUACAUCCUCUUCAGAUGCACCACCAAGGCUUCUCUGAAGGAUCCUGAAGGGAUUAAGUAGCCUAUUCAGGCAUCUUGAAUUUAGAAAAAAUAUAAAGGCAUAAAGAAUAUAAAAGAAAAUUGCACAUUUUAGCUGUUAGACAGACUUAAAGAGGAGUAAAAGUUACGUCUGUAGCAGUGAAAGGGACCUGAAGAAUUAUUUGUCAAGUCCCUUCUAAAACCAUAAAGGUCAGCUAUGAGGACUGGGUUAUUUGUCACAAACUGCUGCAGAAAAUCUGUUCUUUAAGUAUUUGUAAUCUAACUUUAUACAGUGUUACUAUAUUCAAAAUUUCAUCAAUACUACGACAUUGGUUAAUACAACAUAUGAAUAAAAACAAAGAUAUAUGGCCAGAUGCCAUUGUAGCUUGGUACAAAAGUGUAAUACUGUCUUUAGUUCAUAAACACCUUCUGCUUCCACUUGGACAGCUCAACAGGAAUAGGUUUUAACUGUUCAGAAUAAUACCUUUGCUCUUAAAAUGUCUGUCUAUACUAAAAGGUGACUGAAAUUACAUAGAACAUCAUUAUAGGUGCUGUCAGUCAGUGACUUCCAGAUCAACCUUAGUCAUUUUAUAAUUAAAAGCAUUAACUUAUUACUCGAUGUGCAGAUUACAAAAUGCAGGUGUGCUGUCUAACCAUCUUGACAGAAUUUUCUCAUUGUAGGACUCCAUAAAACAAGACUCUUCAGCAAAUUUUUGCCAUUUAUAUAUAACAGUAUAAACAAGCUGUGAUGAUAAAAGUAGUUUCUUAAUUCUGUUAAUGUUUAUAUUAUAAAUUAUGAGUGUUUAUGUAUUAUAAUAUGCUGGUCACCAAUUUGGCUGCUAUAGUCAUUCUGGCAGUAUAA
Oxyura jamaicensis (ruddy duck) is the source of this 2067-nucleotide long non-coding RNA. RefSeq lists it as uncharacterized. The record is from RefSeq and is a predicted model, not a curated record. The transcript has 2 exons. NCBI's taxonomy places the organism in Eukaryota, Metazoa, Chordata, Aves, Anseriformes, Anatidae.